This 253-nucleotide ribosomal RNA is filed under the name uncultured bacterium. Its description in RNAcentral is "partial 16S ribosomal RNA". It matches the Rfam family "Bacterial small subunit ribosomal RNA", at positions 524 to 776 of the family's 1533-position model. The record is from RNAcentral.
UACGUAGGUUGCAAGCGUUGUCCGGAUUUACUGGGCGUAAAGAGCGCGCAGGCGGUCGUUCAAGUCGAGUGUGAAAGCCCCCGGCUCAACUGGGGAGGGUCACUCGAUACUGAUCGACUCGAAGGCAGAAGAGGGAAGCGGAAUUCCCGGUGUAGUGGUGAAAUGCGUAGAUAUCGGGAGGAACACCAGUGGCGAAGGCGGCUUUCUGGUCUGCUCUUGACGCUGAGGCGCGAAAGCUAGGGUAGCAAACGGG